Diachasmimorpha longicaudata is the source of this 1639-nucleotide long non-coding RNA. RefSeq lists it as uncharacterized. The transcript is spliced from 3 exons. The record is from RefSeq and is a predicted model, not a curated record. Lineage: Eukaryota; Metazoa; Arthropoda; Insecta; Hymenoptera; Braconidae.
GUGCACGCAGGGACUGGAAGCCGCGAUUCUAACCUCACUUCCUGCGGUUAAAUAGUUGUUUUCAGUCCUAGUGACAUAAUAUUAUGUUGUGACUGAAGUGAGUGAAGUGUAGUGUGACGAAAUGUGGAUUUAUCACCCCAGACAAAGGCGAGUGUCUUCCGACGAAAUUUUGAACCGUUGAAUUAUUCGGUUGGAAUCGAACAAUCGUCUCGGGGCCUUCGAUAUAUCAUACUGCGAGAGCAACAUAUUCUUCGUUACGACGAAUUAUCGAGGACAAUUGGAGUUUUUGGGAGGAUGGAGGGAUGUGUCAAGGGCCACGCGGUUCUGCGAAGUAGCGCGAGGUCUGUUCCAUGGAAAAUCAAUACGAUUUAGCGAGUGUCACGCUGAUGGUCUGAGUGGAAGACGGGUGAACCUACUGAAAUUUUGAAUUCAACAUCUCCAGGAGAAAAAUAUCUGGCCCUGGAAUAUCGUCCAGAACUGAUUGGAAAAGUCUUCAAGAAGUUAUUCUGAACAUUGACAAAGGGGUGAAAAUUGUUCGCAUAAGUAUUAACUGGAAUGAUAGACCUGGAGAUCACCUCGUUUUCCUCGCACUCAACACACCGACUCAGAAAAUUGAUGGAGAAAAAAACGACACAUUCAACAUCGAAUGGCUGGGGCUCGAUUGCCGGUAUAAUAACCGGAAAAUGAAUGAUAAUAAAGCUGCAACGGGAACAGGAGAGAAGCUAAUAAUUUCGACCCACUAACCAACUAAUGCAAACGAUACUUUUCCCUGCUGCACGCGGGUACUCAAAAUGCAGGAGAACAAACGGAUACUACAGUGCGCUUUCACCAUUGAAUUCUGCAGUCACUGGUGAUUGCUGUGGGUUCAAUCUCGAGGUGAUAAAAUCGUGUCCGUGGUAUAGAGCAAUGAUAAUUACACGCUUUGAAGUUACAAACUUGCCUGUCUAUCAUUUUUUUUUCAGCAGGAAAAACACGUCAGGUGGAAACGUACAAAAUUCAAAAAACGAGUCAGUGCAGGUAAAUUUGUACAAUUUUUAUAAUUCUGCGUUGUCUCAGAAAAAUUGUGAAAUAAAAAAAAAAUUAGCACAAUUUUUCUUGCUACCUCGUGUCAUAAGAACAGCAGAGGGAGUAUGACCUCUUCUGCAUUGCGCAAAUUGUUCAUUACGCCUCGAAGAAGCUGUGCAGAAAGCGUUGAGAGGAGCUCAUGAAAAAAAUAUUGUGCAAUUCAAAAAUUUUCGGCCCUUUUUUUUACAUUCUACAAUUACUAGUCUACAGUAUUAACUAUUUCUGAGGGCCACUGUAGGACCCAGAAUUUUUUAAACCAUUAAAUGUGCAUAGGAUUUUUUUUAAAUGUAAUUUCAUUUUGAAAAAAAGGAACUCACCCGAUCCUUCGUUGAUAUCAUUUUGGCGGUUCCAUUGUUACCAUUGCUGGUGUUAUUAAGCGGUUCUUUUGAAAUUAUGUCUGACAUUUUGAAUCACAGUUCUCUCGGAAUAAUCCACACAUCGACACUUAACAAUUCAACACAUAUUCAGUAAUUUAGCACAAUAAUUAUUUCACCGUUCGCUUCCAAUCAUCAAUCUAUGUUCAUUGAAAACUCGAGAAGUAUAUCAGCAGGAAAUAAAAACAAAUUUAUUUAUA